This 465-nucleotide ribosomal RNA is filed under the name Vreelandella stevensii. Its description in RNAcentral is "partial 16S ribosomal RNA". It matches the Rfam family "Bacterial small subunit ribosomal RNA", at positions 338 to 795 of the family's 1533-position model. Lineage: Bacteria; Pseudomonadati; Pseudomonadota; Gammaproteobacteria; Oceanospirillales; Halomonadaceae. The record is from RNAcentral.
CCUACGGGAGGCAGCAGUGGGGAAUAUUGGACGAUGGGGGGAACCCUGAUCCAGCCAUGCCGCGUGUGUGAAGAAGGCCCUCGGGUUGUAAAGCACUUUCAGUGAGGAAGAACGCCUGGUGGUUAAUACCCAUCAGGAAAGACAUCACUCACAGAAGAAGCACCGGCUAACUCCGUGCCAGCAGCCGCGGUAAUACGGAGGGUGCGAGCGUUAAUCGGAAUUACUGGGCGUAAAGCGCGCGUAGGUGGCUUGAUAAGCCGGUUGUGAAAGCCCCGGGCUCAACCUGGGAACGGCAUCCGGAACUGUCAAGCUAGAGUGCAGGAGAGGAAGGUAGAAUUCCCGGUGUAGCGGUGAAAUGCGUAGAGAUCGGGAGGAAUACCAGUGGCGAAGGCGGCCUUCUGGACUGACACUGACACUGAGGUGCGAAAGCGUGGGUAGCAAACAGGAUUAGAUACCCUGGUAGUC